Molecule: RNA transcript, 3277 nt
Organism: Arachis stenosperma
Lineage: Eukaryota; Viridiplantae; Streptophyta; Magnoliopsida; Fabales; Fabaceae
Gene name: putative disease resistance protein At3g14460
Exons: 6
Source: RefSeq, a predicted model, not a curated record
UAACGAAUGAUUCUUGAUUUGGAGAAGGGAGUGUUUCAGGAUUUUUUUUUUUAAUCACAAAACGGCGUCGUUUUUAUAGAACCGGCCGAUUAUCGGUUUAAUUCAACCGGCCAAUUCUAAACCGGUUCAGCAGUUUUUAAACGGUUUUUCUUCAUCGGUUAUUAGAAGUGAACUGGACCGUCUUUAUAAUCGGUUUUCGGUUUGACUAACCGGUCCGAUCUGAUUUUCAGAACCACGUUUUUGAGUUACUUCUCAUCAAAGAAGAAGCUGCUGGAUCUGGAUACGAAGGAAAUGAAAAAUCUUAAUUGAGAGAAGCUUUGCUGCUAAUUGCUUCUAAAUUUUAAUCAUAUCAUUUGGUUUCUGACUAAAUUCUACUUGUAAGCCAAGUAUUCCAGAUGAUAGUACAAAAGCCAAUCAACCACCUAUUGCGUUCAUCCUUCCUAGCAGGAGUCCUUGUCCAACUCUUGAAGUGUUGCUUAAUUGUUUCUGGAACAGACCAUAGUUUCUUAUAGCCAUUUUGACUAUUAAUCCUUACUUACACACUAAUUCCCUUGUAAACUAAUAAUGUUACUUACUUGUAACUGUAGGGUCUUAUUUAAACCAAAGAAAAUAUGGCUGCUGCUAUUGUGGGAGGGGCAUUACUCUCUGCUUUUUUUCAGGUGUCGUUGGAUAAGAUCAUUUCCAAUGAGUUCUUGGACUUCUAUAGGAGAAGGAAGCUUAAUGUUUCACUUCUUGGAAAGAUGAAGAUGAAGUUAAAGACAAGUUUGAUUUAAAAGCAUGGGCAUGUGUUUCAAAGGAUUUUCAUGGUUUUCAGGAUCACUUAGACUGUGCUUGAAUCGUUUACCUCAAAAACAACAAAUACUGAUAACUUGAAUACUCUGCUAUGCAAACCUUUCCUAUCUUCCAUUUGACAUCUCUUGAUAGUGAAGAAUGCUGGUCUUUACUUGCUGAACACACAUUUGGAGCAAAUAAUUCCAGUGAAAGGUCCAACCUAGACAGAAUUGGAAGAGAAAUUGUGAAAAAAUGUGAUGGUUUGCCUUUAGCUGCAGUUGCAUUGGGGAGUCUUCUUCGCACCAAAUUGUCGAAAAAUGAUUAGAAUAAGGUACUUAGAAGUAACAUUUGGGAUCUGCCAAAUUUGAAUGUGCAAACUGCUCUGCUACUAAGCUAUCAUUUCCUUCCAGCUACUUUGAAACGUUGCUUUGCUUAUUGUUCAAUUUUUCCAAAAAACUCAGUCUUAGAAAAAGAGAUGCUAGUUCGGCUAUGGAUCGCAGAAAGUUUAGUACAUGUGACAAAAAGUAAGAAAAUCCUGGAAGAAGUUGGUGACGAAUUCAAUUUGCAGGGGAAGCUCUGCAUUUCAAAGCUACAAAACAUUGUUGACCCCUGUGAUGCUUCACAAGCCAAUAUGAAGAAGAAAGAACAAAUUGAAGAUCUAUCAUUAGAAUGGGAUAGCUGCACUGCUCAAGAGUCCCAAUAUCUUGUAUUGGAGCACCUGCAGCCUUCAACAAACUUGAACAAACUAACCAUCAAAUUCUAUGGUGGAACCUGGUUUCCCAACUGGUUAGGGUUUUAUUUAAACCAAAGAAAAUAUGGCUGCUGCUAUGGUGGGAGGGGCAUUACUCUCUGCUUCUGUUCAGGUGUUGUUGGAUAAGAUCAUUUCCAAUGAGUUCUUGGACUUCUAUAGGAGAAGGAAGCUUAAUGUUUCACUUCUUGGAAAGAUGAAGAUGAAGUUAAAGACAAGUUUGAUUUAAAAGCAUGGGCAUGUGUUUCAAAGGAUUUUCAUGGUUUUCAGGAUCACUUAGACUGUGCUUGAAUCGUUUACCUCAAAAACAACAAAUACUGAUAACUUGAAUACUCUGCUAUGCAAACCUUUCCUAUCUUCCAUUUGACAUCUCUUGAUAGUGAAGAUUGCUGAACACGCAUUUGUAGCAAAUAAUUCCAGUGAAAGGUCCAACCUAGAAGGAAUUGGAAGAGAGAUUGUGAAAAAAUGUGAUGGUUUGCCUUUAGCUGCAGUUGCAUUGAGGGCAUCUUCUUCGCACCAAAUUGUCGAAAAAUGAUUGGAAUAAGGUACUUAGAAGUAACAUUUGGGAUCUGCCAAAUUUGAAUGUGCAACAUGCUCUGCUACUAAGCUAUCAUUUCCUUCCAGCUCCUUUGAAACGUUGCCUUGCUUAUUGUUCAAUUUUUCCAAAGAACUGAGUCUUAGAAAAAGAUGCUAGUUCAGCUAUGGAUCGCAGAAGGCUUAGUACAUGUGUCAAAAACUAAGAAAAUCCUGGAAGAAGUUGGUGACGAAUACUUUGAUGAACUAGUAUCAAAGUCACUCAUUCGUCGACACUCCAUGGAUGGGAAACGCUUCGAAAUGCAUGAUCUCAUCAAUGGUUUAGCUGCAAUGGUUUUAUCUGUUUUUUGUAUCAGACAGCAAAAUGGAUUGAAGGUGGGGAGAAUUGCAAAAAUUUCCCAAUUUGCAGGGGAAGCUCUGCAUUUCAAAACUACAAAACAUUGUUAACCCCUGGGAUGCUUCACAAGCCAAUAUGAAGAAGAAAGAACAAAUUGAAGAUCUAUCAUUAGAAUGGGAUAGCUGCACUGCUCAAGAGUCCCAACAUCUUGUAUUGGAGCACCUGCAGCCUUCAACAAACUUGAAGAAACCAACCAUCAAAUUCUAUGGUGGAAUCUGGUUUCUCAACUGGUUAGAAGAAGAUGCACCCCAGUAUCUCACAUUUCUUCAAGGUUUCUACAUUCUAGAAUGUCCUGAACUUGAAUCAUUUCCUCAUCUUGGAUUGCCAGCACCUAAGCUCAGACGUUUUUGGGUGUCAUAUUGCAACAAGCUUAAUUCACUACCAGGACCGGUUAAUGCUCUUGUUGGCCUUCAAGAAUUGACAGUUCUUAACCUCCCAACAAACUAUUUGUGAACCAUGCUUGUGAAGUUGUGGGAAACUUGCUGUAACUUGAAGCAGAGGAUAAUAUUCUCUAUCGGAUUUUGGUGUGCACAUAGCAUCUUUGUUUUAAGAGAAGCUCACAGCAUAUGGUGCAACCUCAUGCAGCCAAGUUCAGCUUAUGCAUGCAUGGUUGGCGUGACUAAAUUAAGUAGAUGAUAGUUGUAGAGUUUGUUAUUGUUACUUGCCACGUAGGAUCAAUUAGUUAGAGGCUAAGUUAGUUGUAGUUUGCUGCUAUAUAAGCCACGUGUAUCAGCUAGUUUCAUUUGAGAUCUUUCACUUUAGAUUGAGUUUAUUCAUCAAUUCCAUUUAAUUUCUUCUCUCAAUUCUCUCCAAUUUAGUGUGCUCGU